Molecule: non-coding RNA, 263 nt
Organism: Paramuricea clavata
Lineage: Eukaryota; Metazoa; Cnidaria; Anthozoa; Malacalcyonacea; Plexauridae
Source: the annotation of a GenBank genome assembly
UGCCAACGGCUUUAUAUAUUUUUUAUUAAAAUAACAACAACAACUUUACUCUUUAGUUUGAUUCAGUCAUGUACUGCGCAAGUGCACAUUCAAGUAUUUAACAAAUGUCUGGUGUUUAAAUACUCGUGGGAAUUCCUUUGGGAAAUAAGCUUCAAAUAUAUCAUGUUGCCUAACUAAAAUCCUCUAUCAUGCCAUAAAUCCUCUAUUAAAGUAUCAAGGUUAAUACAUAAGCUCAAGUCUUAAACAGUCCUCCGAUCCUCUGU